CAGGGAUUGCCUCAGUAACGGCGAGUGAAGCGGCAAAAGCUCAAAUUUGAAAUCUGGUACCUUUGGUGCCCGAGUUGUAAUUUGAAGAUAGUUUUCUGGUGCUGGCCCUUGUCUAUGUUCCUUGGAACAGGACGUCACAGAGGGUGAGAAUCCCGUCUGGCGGGGUGUCCAGUGCUUUGUAGAUUUCUAUCGACGAGUCGAGUUGUUUGGGAAUGCAGCUCUAAGUGGGUGGUAAAUUCCAUCUAAAGCUAAAUAUUGGCGAGAGACCGAUAGCGAACAAGUACAGUGAUGGAAAGAUGAAAAGAACUUUGAAAAGAGAGUGAAAAAGUACGUGAAAUUGUUGAAAGGGAAGGGUAUUAGAUCAGACUUGGUGUUUUGUGAUUAUCUUCCCUUCUUGGGUUGUGCACUCGCAUUUCACUGGGCCAGCAUCGGUUCGGGUGGUAAGAUAAUGACAUUGGAACGUGGCACUGCCUUCGGGUGGUGUGUUAUAGCCCUUGUUGAUGUUGCCUAUCUGGACCGAGGACUGCGGCUUUUGCCUAGGAUGCUGGCGUAAUGAUCUAACACCGCCCGUCUUGAAACACGGACC
This 586-nucleotide ribosomal RNA is filed under the name Cyberlindnera sp. HA1617. RNAcentral's name for it is "eukaryotic LSU rRNA". It matches the Rfam family "Eukaryotic large subunit ribosomal RNA", at positions 69 to 667 of the family's 3401-position model. The record is from RNAcentral. Lineage: Eukaryota; Fungi; Ascomycota; Saccharomycetes; Phaffomycetales; Wickerhamomycetaceae.